AUACGGAGGUGGCAAGCGUUGUCCGGAAUUAUUGGGCGUAAAGCGCGCGCAGGCGGUCCUUUAAGUCUGAUGUGAAAGCCCACGGCUCAACCGUGGAGGGUCCUUGGAAACUGGAUGACUUGAGGGCAGAAGAGGAAAGUGGAAAUCCAAGUGUAGCGGUGAAAGGCGUAGAGAUUUGGAGGAACACCAGUGGCGAAGGCGACUUUCUGGUCUGUAACUGACGCUGAGGCGCGAAAGCGUGGGGAGCAAACAGGAUUAGAUCCCCUGGUAGUCCACGCCGUAAACGAUGAGUGCUAAGUGUUAGGGGGUUUCCGCCCCUUAGUGCUGCAGCUAACGCAUUAAGCACUCCGCCUGGGGAGUACGGUCGCAAGACUGAAACUCAAAGGAAUUGACGGGG
This 397-nucleotide ribosomal RNA is filed under the name uncultured bacterium. Its description in RNAcentral is "partial 16S ribosomal RNA". It matches the Rfam family "Bacterial small subunit ribosomal RNA", at positions 523 to 918 of the family's 1533-position model. The record is from RNAcentral.